GUUCUCAGCAGUGAAGACUUCACCUGCUUCUGGCUUCUUGGCAAGGGAUAAACUUGGAUAAACAUGGGGAGUCUUCCACACUGUGCUGAGGCAUAAGUCAAGGUAGACAUUCCCAGCUUCUGAAGAACUCUCAGUCUAAAUACAGCGUAUGGGUUUCUUUUCAGAAACAAAAUGCCAAUCA
Molecule: long non-coding RNA, 181 nt
Filed under: Numida meleagris (helmeted guineafowl)
Lineage: Eukaryota; Metazoa; Chordata; Aves; Galliformes; Numididae
Description: lncRNA (ENSNMEG00000004579.1)
Source: RNAcentral